GUCAGUCUGUCACUGUGUGUGCUGGUGUGCGUGCGCCUCUCUGUGUGUUCGCGCGUGUGUGUGUGUGUGCGACGUAUCUGUGCCCGCUCAGUGCUCUGUGCUCAAAUGCAAUUUACAAUUACGCGCGGCAAUUGGAGCAGCUACCGUUGUGUGCGUGCGUACGUGCGGGAUCAUUGCACAUUGCGUCAACGUUUCAAGAUCACAAUUACAAUUACCCCGACGCAGUGGCAGUUGCAGUAGCACCAAAAAAUCCAUCUCAAUUGCGAGAGAACCGAACAGUGGCAAAAGCAACCGAAAAUUAAGUAAGGCACAGCAAAUUUGUCGAAGAAAACUAUCAACAAUACAAGUAAAUAAGAACGGCAGAACGGCCGCCCGCCCCCACAACAGCUGCUCUCCGUUGAUGCGCCACUCCACUCCGCGGCUCAACGAUUCUUCUAUACAAUUCUUCGAGCCUCCUCCCCUCGCCCAUUCUCGCCCCACGAGACUCCCCUCCCCCCGCCCCCCACGCUGCUCUUCUCGAUUCUUUUCGCCCCUCCCGCCGGCCCGCUGGAAAAAACGGGCAGAGCUGCAGAGCCGCAGAAAGCGAUUUCAGUUCGGCGACGGCAGCGCACAGGUGCCAUUCGGAAAGUGCGGACGUAGAAUGUUUGCCGGGAAUUCCAGUGGCAUUUUCACCUAUAGUUCCACUCGAUUUUGCCUCGACGCCAGCGUUAGUAGCGCGUUUCGACGGAACACACAGAUCGUUUUCCAACACCAUAAGCACCAUUUCACUUUUGAGUCUUUCCUUAUCAGUCACUCCCAAUCACUACCCAACCAUCAUCCACUACUCUUCACUAGUUUCUCUUUCUACUAUCCUUUUUCUUAUUAUUCCCAUCCUCCCUUUUAACUAUCUUCACACACUCAUUCUUAACGGAAAUCUUCACUGUUUUUAUGCUUUCUACUAUCGUUCUAUCCGCCAGCCUUUCACUUUUCACUCGCUUCUAACAUUUACCAUUCUAGCUAUUUUUUUACCAUCUCUUACCAUUGAAUUCUUUAUAUAAGCCUUAGUAAAUUAGUAUACAGAAAAUAGUACGAAUUUCCAUUUUCCAUUUUCUGCACUUUUUUCAACUUCUUCUGCUUACAACAUCUUUCUUAUCACCAAUCCCAUUACACUUUCUUGCAUAUUCCUAUUUCAUUUUUGCUGUUCUAACGAAUCUCACACUUACUUCAUUAGUCCCAACUCUUUGCUAACCUGGUGUAUACAUACCUUUACCCACCCCACCUCUACCCGCGAUCCAGCCAAUCCAUCCAUGUGAGAUGAGUGCGUGCGACGGCGGUACGGGAACGGUUUCGCGAACGUCUGACGCCCCCGCUUUCCAAUUCGAUGUCAUGCCAAAGAUAACGACGUCGACGUCGACGUCGAAAGCGUCGGCAGCGAGGGCGAAAACGAAAACGACAGCAAAAGCAACAACAAUUGGAAAAACAACAACGACGACAACGCGGAGAACGGUUAAAAUUGAAAAUAAAUGGACGACGGCAGAGGCAACGGCGUUCAGUUAUCAGCGGACAGCGGAGCAGAUUGGAGCUAGUGCCCGAGCCAGAGCCAGAACCAAAGUAGCAGCUACAGUCAGAGCUAGAGCAAACCCAAUUGCGGCCACAUCCAAUCAGCGAAGUGACAUUGGUUAUCCAUGUGAGGUGGCAUCCAUCUCCGAGUUGGCCCUACGCAAGGCGCAGUUGAAAGCGCAAUUUUUCGGCAAUCAAGUGGGUGGAUUAGCCCGCGAUAGCGAGACAAGCAGCACCACUAGAAUCACUCGCACCACCAACUACCGCAGUGCUUAUCCCAGCUGCAAGACGGAACGAGGCAAGCCGGUGCAACAGCUAAUCGAUCAGUUCCAGGCCAUGAUUGUCCAGCAGCAGCAGCAGCAGCAGCUGAGCAACGAGGGCGAGCCCAAGACACUGCCCGGAGCCACUGCAUCCAAUUCGGAUGAGGGCUGUAAUGUCACCGGCGGCGGACUGAGUCCCUAUAGCAGCGACAACGAGGAUAACAGCCUAUCGCCGAGGCAGCGCAAAAUGAAGGUCACACGCUGUGCCAGUAGUGAUUCCGCCCUGGGUCUGGACGUGGACGAUGGCGGCAUGGAUGUGCCGUUGCCGCCACAACGUCGGAUGACACUGACCGUAACGGAUUUACCCCUGCGACCGGCCCUACUGCCACUGGCCGAACCCACAGCCCUGCCAGAUUCGCCACUGACAUCGCCCACCGGCGGUGGCAAUCCGAGCGUGGGUGUGCCCACCAAGGUGCUGCUCGAGGAGCGAGUGGUAGCCGCACCGGGAUCGCGACGUGAAUCCACCCAGAGCUCGUACAGCGAACUGGGCGUCAGUGGACUGCCGCUGGGCGUGCGCUAUGUGCGCACACCAUCCGUCGUGGUUAGCGACUAUUCGGAUGACAUAACCGCCUGCGGCAUUAGCAUGGAGGAAAUGGAAUACUUUCGUCUGCAGCGGGCGCGUGGUCAGCGGCGUUGUUCCCUGGAGGCGGGACAUCACAGUCAUAGCGGUGGACAUGGCGCACAUGGACACGGUGGAUCGGGAGCGGCGGGAAUGUCGCCGGGAUGUGGCAAGGACGAUGGCCAAUCGGAUGUCAGUGCAGCAAGCAGUUGCAGCAAUCUCUACUAUUGUGGAUCCACCAUUUCUGCCCUCGAUGGUGGCGAGUGCAUCGUGAAUGGAGUUCGAGUUGCGCUCGCCAGGAAGAGCAGCACCCAGAGCAGCAGUCUCAGCGACGAGGAGGAGGAGGAGGAGGAUGACGACGAGGAUCGCGAUGAGCAGGAUCGCGAUGAGGAUGAUCGCGAUGCGGAGGAGAUGCUUCAGGAGGAUUACGAGCGGGGGGAUCGCGAACGUGAGAGGGAGCGGCAGAUCAGCGAACUAAUGGCCGCCACGCAGCUUGGUGAUCGUCAGCGGGAUCGAUCCAAGAAGGUAGGCGCCCGCGAUGACGUCACAAACCAGGGAAAUCUCAAACUAGACUAAAGAAUUCGGGUUGGCAAAACGGACAAGUAACAAAGUGGAGCAGCCUAGUAAAUUUAAUAUUAAACACUAUUUUUUUUUUUUCGUUUUUAAAUAUCAUUAAUGAUUGUUUGUGUUGUUGUUAUCGAAAGCAUAAAAGAGCAGUGAAUGAGGGCAGGUCUGAAUGGCAGCGAAAGAGAUAAGCAAGUUGGUGCAUAUACACAGGGAGAAACGGGUGCUACGCGUAGAUGAAAUGUGGCAUAAUUAAAAAAAAAAAAAAACAAUCUAUUUUGCUCUAGAGCAGUAUUAUACCGUUUAGUUUAUCAACUGCAAGACCAUUAUAACUAUAGAAAAAGACUAUAAUAAUAAGACUUUUACAAUACGCAUAUCUAUUAAAUAUAAAAAGAAAAAAAAAAACAAAGAAAAUCCCUUGAACUACUGACUUGAUAAUGCGAAUUACCACUAAGUUUCAUCUUGUUUUAAAGAUGAUGAGAUGAUAUAUAGGCUCAAGAACGGUAAUCCCGCGCCUUAUCAGCUAAUGGUUUUUCCACCUUGCAUAUGCAGGUCUUUUCUUUCAGUGUAUGCGUUUGCUUAAAAGGCUAUUAAUUAAUUAGAAUUUUAUCUUAUCACUAAAAUGAGGUUCUGUUACUCGGAGAAGUCUUUUUGU
Non-coding RNA from Drosophila melanogaster (fruit fly), 3637 nucleotides. The record is from Ensembl. NCBI's taxonomy places the organism in Eukaryota, Metazoa, Arthropoda, Insecta, Diptera, Drosophilidae.